RNAcentral lists this ribosomal RNA (119 nucleotides) under Oryza sativa Indica Group (long-grained rice). Lineage: Eukaryota; Viridiplantae; Streptophyta; Magnoliopsida; Poales; Poaceae. The record is from RNAcentral.
GGAUGCGAUCAUACCAGCACUAAAGCACCAGAUCCCAUCAGAACUCCGAAGUUAAGCGUGCUUGGGCGAGAGUAGUACUAGGAUGGGUGACCUCCUGGGAAGUCCUCGUGUUGCAUCCG